AAUGAUAAGCAUCGCGAUUGCAUCACUUUGCUGGCCUGGGGAGGCGGCCAGGGCGCAUUUCCAAAAGCACCCAGGUGUUCAGCUGUGCGGAGGGGAGGGGGGUGUUUGGGUUGGUGUCUGGCGGAGAAGCGUCUCCUCCAAGAUAAACAGAGAGCCUUAAAAAAAAGAAAGAAGGAAGGAAGGAAGAAAGGAAGGAAGGAAGGAAGGGGGAGAGCAAGCAAGCGUUGUUUAGUCUCUUGGCGCGUUUGGAAGGGUGCCCAAACGCGCUUUGCGGACUCGAUCCCAAGAAGGGAUCGUACGUUGGAUGCCAGGGACCAGUUCUCGCUCUACCAAGCAGAGUUCUCUUGGAACCAUACAGGCGAUUGUGCUGGCUUAUUUUUUUAAAUCACAGGGCAAUCUAGUUUGUUUAAAAGAAAGAAAACACAAAUUUUUAAAUUGUUAUUUAAAACGAGAGUUGCCUACCACUUAGGUUUCCUUGGAGACUUCUCAUACAGAGGCUGGUUGCAAAGCACUCUGCACAUUUGUGGAGGAACUCUGUUCCUCUGUUUUUUUUCCUGCUUGUGUGUGCCCUGUCCUGUUUUCCCUAAGACAGGAGCAUUUAGGAAAAUUAAGGCUUCAAUCUUCAGCUGUGUGGAGGCUUCAUUGAAGACAGGGGUGGGGGCUUAAGUUCUGGGGGUUGGGGGGUGGGUGGGGGUACCAUGCCUAGAAUUCUGGGUCCCAAACCCCCAAGGAGGUUUUUCUCAGAUUUGCUGCCUGCUUACAAGAGCUAAGGAAGUAAGUAAAGCGUGGGCUUUCUCUUUCAGCAGGAGGAGGAGGUAACAUAAUCCCACCCCCUAGAGGAGGGCUGACAAAAGUGUGCUGUGUUUUUCAAUCCUGACACUCCUCCUCCUCUUCUCUCUCUCUCUCUCUCUCUCUCUCUCUCUCUCAUUUGCUAAAGGGUGGGAUUUUUCCUUUGACGAAAACCCCAACAACUUGUUCCCACAAGAUCAUCUGUUUCUUGUUGGAUGCUUAUGAAAAUAUAAGGGCCUUGAGGCUCUGGUUAGGGCCUUCGUGACCAUUUAUGGAUUGCCUAAGUUGUGUGUGUGGUUUAUAGGAGUGCUUGCAUGCGCACACAUGUCCGGGGCUGGAGACUGCUGCUCUGCAGGCACGUGGUCAGCGCCGGUUGAAAAGCCAUGCGUUGCGGCAAUGGAUCUGUGGGCACCGCCUCUGUUCCGAAAGCUCGUGUUUGCGGUAACUAUAGUGCUCGUGUACACAAAUGCGCUCAGUGGGCAGAGUUUAGGAAAUGCCAUUGGUAUGAGUGAGUGUGUGAUGCUUGGAGCAGAGGCAUGGAGGAACGGUUUGGCUCCGUUUUCUCUGCAGAUGCCCAGAAUAAAGUAAGAAAGUCCGGCGACAAAGAAAGGGGUGUGUGUGUGUGAAAGGAUGUCUCUUAGUUGCACCAAACCGGGGUGAAGAAUGUGCUUCCCUCCAGAAGUUGCUGGACCCCAACUCCCACAGUGAUGUGUGGCGAUUUUUUGUUGUUAUAGGGAGACAGAGCCAGAGACGCCAGCUUGCGAAGGCGAUUUGGGGGGCAGGGAGUUGUUUGCGUGAGCAUCGCAGCUCCCUCCCUGAGCCAGGCAGAAGCUUCCCAGGCUUGGGAAGGAGGUGCCAGGGGGAACAUUUAGGGGGACUAGCCUAGUCCCCCUUGUAACAAGUUUUGUUACAUCAAUAAAGAUCAGGUCUUCUGGCUGCUGGUUUGCUUCAAUUUCAUGGCUGUAGUCUUGUUUGACCUUCUAACCUAAGCCUGCGGAACUCACUGCUGCACCCUAGUUCACUGACCACAUGCCGCUGAACUCCCAUCAGCAUGACUGAUGGUUGGGGAGCUAUAGCACAACCGCCAGCUGAAAGGCCGCAGGUUCUUCGAUUCCACCACUGGUUUCGGUUGGGUAUUUAAUGCCUUUGAAGUAGUAUAUUGUGUGUG
This is a non-coding RNA of Podarcis lilfordi (Lilford's wall lizard), 1957 nucleotides long. Lineage: Eukaryota; Metazoa; Chordata; Lepidosauria; Squamata; Lacertidae. The record is from the annotation of a GenBank genome assembly.